This is a long non-coding RNA of Bombina bombina (fire-bellied toad), 333 nucleotides long. RefSeq lists it as uncharacterized. NCBI's taxonomy places the organism in Eukaryota, Metazoa, Chordata, Amphibia, Anura, Bombinatoridae. The transcript is spliced from 3 exons. The record is from RefSeq and is a predicted model, not a curated record.
CCAUGAUGAACUUUCUGUGUGUGCUGCAGACAAGUCAUGUGCAAUCAGGCUUAGUAAUAUGUAAUAUUCAGAAAACACCACUCCCAUGGAGAUUGGAGUACUCAGAGGGCUACUUACCCCAGAGGAGAGGAUGAGAAGAAGAACUAAACAAUUGUGCAUGUACUGUGCCAGCCCUAACCAUACAGUCUCUGAAUGUCCAAUACUACGCAAAAACAAGAAAAUGGGACCAUAGAAGAUUGAAGAUAACCGCCAUCAUUGAUUCUGGGGCCUUUGGCAAUUUCAUUGAUGCUACUGUUGUAACCAAAAAUAAAAUUCCAACUGUAUUGAAAAAGA